Molecule: long non-coding RNA, 5256 nt
Filed under: Nicotiana benthamiana
Lineage: Eukaryota; Viridiplantae; Streptophyta; Magnoliopsida; Solanales; Solanaceae
Description: long non-coding RNA (NBEN_LNC031958)
Source: RNAcentral
ACCUCGCUUGUCUCUAUCUAUCCACCUCUGGUUCUCUCUAGAACCUUCCUCUCUCCUCCUCUCUGAUGAGUUCUCUUCAUCUUCUCCGGCCACCUUCUGAUCUAAACCAUGGUGGUUUCACCACACACCAAGCCACCUAUUGUUCCUCACGUUUGGUUAAUUGAAGCUUCACGAAUUGACCAUAAAAAGUUGGGUUCAGACCUCUGUUCAUUCAAGCUUUACAGCCUGCUCUGGCAAACCAUGCCUGCUUCGGGCGUGGCUUCGACUCAUCCUUCUUAGAUCCAAGCCUUUCUCACUGUUUGGGUUCCUCUAAAAAUCCUAGCUUUGAGGUUUUUCUGAUCUCUUUAGAUCUUUUCUAGAUUUAUGCUUUCCCUAAGCUUUUAAAUAAUUUUCUAGAUUUUCUUUAAAAAAAACUAUACUUUCAAAACCAUUUCUUUUCCGAUCUAGGGGUUUUCUGAGAUAUUUAGAUGUUUCUCUUUCUUUUGUGUGUUUCUUAUACUGUAUUUUCCUCUUCUAUAUUCUUGUGUGUUUUUUCUAUUGUAUUUUCCCUAAUGUGUUCUUGUGUGUUUCUUCUAAUGUAUUUUCUCCUACUGUGUUCUUGAGUGUUUCUUAUUAAGUUUUCCCUACUGUGUUCUAGUUGAGUUUCUUCUUAAUAUGCUUCUCCUAUUGUUCUUAUCAAUUUUUUCAUUAUGUUUCGUAUUAGUUUCUUUUAAUAUGUUUUCUUUGAGCUCUUAUACUAUGUUUCGCAUGUUACCCUUCUAUCAUGUUUCUCAUGAGUUUCUGUUGUUGAAAGGAACAUGUUAGAGGUUUUAGUUCUUUUCUGAAACCUCUGAACCUGUUUCGACUUAAUUACGUGUCCUCUCAUAUCUGCACUCUAUUGAUGGUAGAAACCCUAUAAUUUGAGGGUUCUUCCAUCUUUGGAAACCAUUGUCUAUGUGAUUUGGUUGAACGAGUUUUAUUUAAAAAAAACUAUCUCUUUCUGACCUAUUUCGAGUCUCUGAAUUGAGUUUUGAAAUCUUUAUUUUUCAUAUGAUUCUGACUUUUGCUAAGCUCUUUUACACUGGAUCUUUUGUAUGCUACUAGAUUUUACUUCUCUUCUACAUUUCUAACCUAUGUAACAACCAUGCUCCUAAAGUUUAUUAUCUACUGAUUUUGCAAUGAUACGACAUCUUCUUUCAGCUUAACAUGUUCGUAUGCUCUUUAUAUGUGAUGAACUUCCCUCUAAAAUGGCUUUCAUAUUUGUGAUUAGUUCAGACUUCCUUCUAAAUUCUGUUUUAUCUCUUUCCUUGUUUGCUGAUUUCCCUAUGAGUCGACUUAAGUUAAAACGUUUCUCAGCUUUUCUGACUUGGUUCAUUAUGGACCAGUAAUGACAAAAUCUCUGACCCUCCAUUUACUGGCUACUAAUUGAUUUUCUUACCUUAUUUGUGCAACCGUGUAUUUCAAAAUUCUGUCUAUAAAUAACUUUUUGUGUAUUUAUCCUUAAUUGCCUACUUUGCACAAAAGGCUUGUUUAAUUUCUUUCCUUAAAUAACUUUCACCGUUUGAAUCUAAAUUCCUUGAUUAAAGGAAGUCUUGUGUGAUUGAUUCAUAAUUGAUAAUCAGUUCCGUAGUUAUUUUCUUACCUUAUUUCUGCAUGAUUUUCACACUAUAAAUGCACGACUCUUUCACAAACAAAGACUCAUUCACAUUCUUUCUAAACUCACACUUACACGCAAUAGUAUUCUCUCUUCUUGUCUGCAUUGUGGCAUGUUUACAAGACCUACUGCUUUUCUCUAUUUAUUUCUUUGAAAUUGGUAUGUCCUGAUUUAGGCACUAGUACCACAACAAUCUAUUUAUUUAGAGCCUUCAUAUCUAUGUCUACUUUCUGUUUCUACAUAAUUCAACAUUUGCUUUAGUAUGCUAACCUUUUUCUGCUUAUUUUUGUAUGAAUUCCAAACCCCUGCCUGUUGAUACCCAAUUUUUGCCUAUAUAUUUUCAUAUGCAAAAUACCUUUCAAAACAUUAUAUAUAUGCAUAUAUAAGUAUUCCCACGGUCCUAUUAUUUUUCUUAAUUUUUGAAGAUUUAAAAUUAAUUUUAUUGUCGUAUUCUAUCAAGAAAAAUCCAAUAAGUUUUCCCAAAAUUAUUGUUUUUGUAAUUUACUUAUUGAAUUCUCAUAUUUAUGCUAAACUAUAGCUCAGAUAAUUUUUUGCAUAUAUUUACAAAUUUAUCUAGUAUUUUUAAAGCUGAAUUGCAUAUAAUUGUAAUAUCAACCUCCUUUAUAAUGUGAUUGCAUUUUCAUUUAUAAACAUUAAGUCCAAUAUUCUUAAAUUUACAAUUAUAUGUUAUAAAUCAUUUUAGUACUUUCAAUUUAUUUUUAAAUUUUAAUUUUCUAUUUUUAUAAAAUAAAUGGGGAAAAUAACUAUUUAAAAUCUAGCCAGUUUUCAUUUUAAUUGUAGCCUAAAUUCUACCCCAAUUAAACCCAAUUUCAAUUCUAAAUCGCCUAGCCUAAUUCUUAAAAUUACCCGACCCAUAUCCCAUUCAAACGACCCACCUGGCGCCUUUAAAUCCAAUCAUUGAUCUAACAAAUCAACGACUCACAUUCCCCCUUUCCUUAAUUAAUUCCAAAUGACCCCAAAUCCUUCUCAUUUUCCACCUGCCAGCUGCAUCUGAACCCCUCAUUCUCUCAAACUCUCUUGAAGCUUCUCAAACCCUAGCCACCACCUCCUCCCUGAAAGCCACCGGAAUCCAUGGCUUCCAAGCCCAUGGAAGCUCUAUGCCCACCUCCUAUUGCUCCUACAUGCCUGAUUUUUGAAGAUUCAAGGCCUUACCACGACAAAGUUUUGUCCAGGCUUCGUUCGAUUCGAGUUCCACGACCAUCUCCGGUUUUGCUCCGGCGUACCAUGGUUGCUCGAGCUUGAUUUUGACCUCUCCGACUUAGAUUGGUGACUCUUCAAAGCCUUUCUCACUACUGGGGUUCUUAUAAAACCCUAAUCCUUUGGGGUUUUCACCGAUUCCCUUAGAUUUAUUCCAGAUCUAUGUUUUCCCUAAGUUUUCAAAAGAUUUCUCUCGUUUUUCUUUCAAAAAACUACUUUCAAAGCCAUUUUUUUUCCGAUCUAGGGUUUUUUGAAAAAGUAUUUAAAUGUUUCUUUGACCUUAUUUUCUUUUUCUUUUGUAUGUAUGCCUAUAUUGUGUUCUUGUAUUUCUUCUACCAUGUUCUUGUAUGUUUCUCCUACUGUGUUUUCCAAUACUAUGUUCUCGUAUGCUUCUCUAUUGUAUUUUUGUUUUCUAAUGUUGUGUGUUUAUCCUUAUAUAUUUUCCAUUACUAAGUUCUUAAGUUCCCUUGUUAAGCUAAGUUUCUUCUAAAAACUUCUUAGCAUGCUUCUUCUACUGUUCUUAUCAGUCUUUUCCAUUAUGUUUCAUAUUCGCUUCUUCUACUCUAUUUUCUUUGAAUCCUUCUACUAUGUUCUGCGUCUUACUUGCUAUCAUAGUUUUCUCAUGAGUUUUUUCUGCUGAAAGAAACAUGCAAGAGAUUUCAGUUCAUCUCAGAGACCUCUGAGCCUGUUUUGAUCACUUGCUUUCUCAUCUUUAUACUCGAUUAAUGGUGGAAACCCUAGAAUCUGGGGGUUUCUUCCAAGUUUGGUUAUGUGAUUUGCUUGAACUAGGGUUUUAUUUCAAAAGCCCCAAAUUUUUUAGACCAACUUCGAGUCUCUGAACUGAGUUUGGGCAUCUUUGUUUUCCUAUAAUUCUUACUUUUGCUAAUCUCUUCUACACUAGAUUUUUUUACAGAUUUUACAAUGACACGACAAUCUUCUUUCAUGCUUAACAUCUUCGUAUUCUCCUAAUAUAUGAUGAACUUCCCUCUAAAUUGGCUUUCAAAUUUGUGAUUAAUUCAUACUUCCCUCUGAAUAUGGUAUAAUUGAUUUCUUUCCAUUGUUUGCUGAUUUUCUCGGUGACUCGACCUAAGUUAAAACCCUUCUCAGAUUUUGCGACUUGGUUCAUUCAUGGAUCAGUAAUUACAAGAUCCCUAAUGAUUUUCUUACCUUAUUUGUACAACCGUGUAUUUCAAAACUCUGUCCUUAAAUAACUUUUUUAUGUAUUUGUCCUAAUUACAUGCUUUGCACAAAGUGCUUAUUCAGUUUCUUUCCUUAAAUUAUUUUUACCCGUUUGAAUCUGAAUCCCUUAAUUAAGGGAAGUCUUGUGUAAUUGAUGCGUAAUUAACAAUCAGUUCCUUAACUAUUUUCUUACCUUAAUUCUGCCGAAUUUUUACACUAUAAAAGGCACGACCCUUUUCACAAACUGAACACAUAAUUCAAAGUCCUUCUGAACUCAUACUUUCUUAAUAAUAUUCUCUCCUUGUCUGCAUUGUGUCCUGUUCAAAAGACCUACUGCUUUUCUUUGUUUGUUUCUCUAAAACUACAAUAUCCGAAUUUAAUUUUUAGAACCACAACAAUGUGUAUUUACUGCUUUUUGUGUCCAUGUUUGCUUGCUGAUUUUGUAUAUCUAAACACUUAAAUUGACAUGCUGAUCUCCUUCUGUUUGUUUGUUGUGAACCCCCAUUCCCCUAUUACCCCUAUGUGUUUUGAGUUAUGACCUAAGACAUGCAAUGUAAGUUGUUGUCCAUGAAUUAAGUUUGAUCCAUGGGGGUCUUAACCCCUAAGCAAUAUGUGCUAACAGGCCUAAGGGUGUGCCAGCAUCUCCCAUUGUUGGGUAUGCCCACCACCCUGCUUUUUGCCUCUUGCAACUCCCCAAUUACCCUAUACCUUUAUGCGUACUGAUUUAAGUUAUUUCCCAUUUCCCCUUUCAGAAUUUUACUUCUGCACUUUCACUCUCUCUGAGUCCCUAAGUUCUGCUGCCCUCUUGUGAGCCUUGCCUUGGGACCUUGAGUUCCCUCUGAACUUUGACACCUGAAGGUUGGCCCUUCCACACUGCACUAUGUCUUAAUCUGGUGACAGAUUUGGGUAUAAAGGACUGCCCGAAGUUCUUAUGAGACUCUUAGGGAACUUUGACACACCCCCAAAUGGGAGAAAGGCUUUCAAAUAUGAUCUGUUGGAGUUGGUUUACUUCAUACUUUAGACAUGAAGUCUAAAUUAGGCUCUCCUUGGUUAUACUUUUUAAUUUCUGAUGUAUUUUUCUUUACUUACUUUCUUCUGGGCUAUAAUAACUUUGUAAUAAAACUCUCGGGGAUGUCUAGUGAAAAGGGAGGGGUAACCUUGUAGCAAAAAGGGUAGAUAACCUGCCUAUAAGUGUUUCUAAUCUGCACUAUAUAUAUAUACUGCAU